This 289-nucleotide unclassified non-coding RNA is filed under the name uncultured Terriglobales bacterium. RNAcentral's name for it is "uncultured Acidobacteriales bacterium contains 16S-23S intergenic spacer region". The stretch from base 38 to 289 matches the Rfam family "Bacterial small subunit ribosomal RNA", at positions 945 to 1194 of the family's 1533-position model. The record is from RNAcentral. Lineage: Bacteria; Pseudomonadati; Acidobacteriota; Terriglobia; Terriglobales.
UCCGGCUUAACGCCGGCAGUCUCCCUAGAGUGCCCAACUUAAUUCGAGGCAACGCGAAGAACCUUACCUGGGCUCGAAGCACAGUGGACCGGGGUAGAAAUAUCCCUUUUCGCAAGAACUGCUGUGGAGGUGCUGCAUGGCUGUCGUCAGCUCGUGUCGUGAGAUGUUGGGUUAAGUCCCGCAACGAGCGCAACCCUUAUCGUUAGUUGCCAUCAGGUCAAGCUGGGCACUCUAGCGAAACCGCCCCGGAUAACGGGGAGGAAGGUGGGGAUGACGUAGCUAAGCCUUC